This 400-nucleotide ribosomal RNA is filed under the name uncultured bacterium. Its description in RNAcentral is "bacterial SSU rRNA". It matches the Rfam family "Bacterial small subunit ribosomal RNA", at positions 355 to 752 of the family's 1533-position model. The record is from RNAcentral.
UGAGGAAUAUUGGUCAAUGGACGAGAGUCUGAACCAGCCAAGUAGCGUGAAGGAUGACUGCCCUAUGGGUUGUAAACUUCUUUUAUACGGGAAUAAAGUGAGCCACGUGUGGCUUUUUGUAUGUACCGUAUGAAUAAGGAUCGGCUAACUCCGUGCCAGCAGCCGCGGUAAUACGGAGGAUCCGAGCGUUAUCCGGAUUUAUUGGGUUUAAAGGGAGCGUAGGCGGGUUGUUAAGUCAGUUGUGAAAGUUUGCGGCUCAACCGUAAAAUUGCAGUUGAUACUGGCGACCUUGAGUGCAACAGAGGUAGGCGGAAUUCGUGGUGUAGCGGUGAAAUGCUUAGAUAUCACGAAGAACUCCGAUUGCGAAGGCAGCUUACUGGAUUGUAACUGACGCUGAUGC